Molecule: ribosomal RNA, 253 nt
Filed under: uncultured bacterium
Lineage: Bacteria
Also listed under: 1 other name
Description: partial 16S ribosomal RNA
Rfam family: Bacterial small subunit ribosomal RNA
Source: RNAcentral
UACAGAGGGUGCAAGCAUUAAUCGGAUUUAUUGGGCGUAAAGGGCGCGUAGGCGGAUGGAUUAGUCAGAUGUGAAAUCCCGGGGCUCAACCCCGGAACAGCAUUUGAAACUGUCGAUCUAGAGGGUAGGAGGAGAAAAUGGAAUUCCACGUGUAGCGGUGAAAUGCGUAGAUAUGUGGAAGAACACCGGUGGCGAAGGCGAUUUUCUAUCUUAUACCUGACGCUGAGGCGCGAAAGCAAGAGGAUCAAACAGG